This 520-nucleotide ribosomal RNA is filed under the name uncultured Glomus. RNAcentral's name for it is "SSU rRNA". It matches the Rfam family "Eukaryotic small subunit ribosomal RNA", at positions 569 to 1089 of the family's 1831-position model. Lineage: Eukaryota; Fungi; Glomeromycota; Glomeromycetes; Glomerales; Glomeraceae. The record is from RNAcentral.
AGCAGCCGCGGUAAUUCCAGCUCCAAUAGCGUAUAUUAAAGUUGUUGCAGUUAAAAAGCUCGUAGUUGAAUUUCGAGACCGGCUUACUGGUCGUGCUAUUGUACGUACUGGUAUAAUCGGUUUCUCCUUUCUGACGAACUAUAAUGCCAUUAAUUUGGUGUUAUAGGGAAUCAGGACUGUUACUUUGAAAAAAUUAGAGUGUUUAAAGCAGGCUCACGCUUGAAUACAUUAGCAUGGAAUAACGGAAUAGGACGUUUGAUUCUAUUUUGUUGGUUUCUAGGAUCGACGUAAUGAUUAAUAGGGAUAGUUGGGGGCAUUAGUAUUCAAUUGUCAGAGGUGAAAUUCUUGGAUUUAUUGAAGGACUAACUACUGCGAAAGCAUUUGCCAAGGAUGUUUUCAUUAAUCAAGAACGAAAGUUAGGGGAUCGAAGACGAUCAGAUACCGUCGUAGUCUUAACCAUAGGCUAUGCCGACUAGGGAUCGGAUGAUGUUAAUUUUUUUAAUGACUCAUUCGGCGCCUU